Molecule: ribosomal RNA, 253 nt
Filed under: uncultured bacterium
Lineage: Bacteria
Description: partial 16S ribosomal RNA
Rfam family: Bacterial small subunit ribosomal RNA
Source: RNAcentral
UACGAAGGGGGCUAGCGUUGUUCGGAUUUACUGGGCGUAAAGCGCACGUAGGCGGAUUGGUCAGUUAGGGGUGAAAUCCUGGAGCUCAACUCCAGAACUGCCUUUAAUACUGCCAGUCUCGAGUCCGGAAGAGGUAAGUGGAACUCCGAGUGUAGAGGUGAAAUUCGUAGAUAUUCGGAAGAACACCAGUGGCGAAGGCGACACACUGGGCCAUUACUGACGCUGAGGCGCGAAAGCGUGGGGAGCAAACAGG